RNAcentral lists this ribosomal RNA (160 nucleotides) under Cytospora desmazieri. RNAcentral describes it as "Valsa pini 5.8S ribosomal RNA". It matches the Rfam family "5.8S ribosomal RNA". From Rfam's summary of the family: 5.8S ribosomal RNA (5.8S rRNA) is a component of the large subunit of the eukaryotic ribosome. Lineage: Eukaryota; Fungi; Ascomycota; Sordariomycetes; Diaporthales; Cytosporaceae. The record is from RNAcentral.
CAAAACUUUCAACACGCGAUCUCUAGGUUCUGGCAUCGAUGAAGAACGCAGCGAAAUGCGAUAAGUAAUGUGAAUUGCAGAAUUCAGUGAAUCAUCGAAUCUUUGAACGCACAUUGCGCCCUCUGGUAUUCCAGAGGGCAUGCCUGUUCGAGCGUCAUUU